Molecule: ribosomal RNA, 462 nt
Filed under: uncultured bacterium
Lineage: Bacteria
Description: partial 16S ribosomal RNA
Rfam family: Bacterial small subunit ribosomal RNA
Source: RNAcentral
GAUAAACGCUGGCGGCGUGCUUAACACAUGCAAGUCGAACGAAGUUUUUCCUUCGGGAGAAACUUAGUGGCGGACGGGUGAGUAACGCGUGGGUAACCUGCCCUGUACAGGGGGACAACAGCUGGAAACGGCUGCUAAUACCGCAUAAGCCCUUAGCACUGCAUGGUGCAUAGGGAAAAGGAGCAAUCCGGUACAGGAUGGACCCGCGUCUGAUUAGCCAGUUGGCAGGGUAACGGCCUACCAAGGCGACGAUCAGUAGCCGAUCUGAGAGGAUGUACGGCCACAUUGGGACUGAGACACGGCCCAGACUCCUACGGGAGGCAGCAGUGGGGAAUAUUGCACAAUGGAGGAAACUCUGAUGCAGCGACGCCGCGUGAGUGAAGAAGUAUUUCGGUAUGUAAAGCUCUAUCAGCAGGGAAGAAAAUGACGGUACCUGACUAAGAAGCACCGGCUAAAUACGUG